RNAcentral lists this ribosomal RNA (273 nucleotides) under uncultured bacterium. RNAcentral's name for it is "partial 16S ribosomal RNA". It matches the Rfam family "Bacterial small subunit ribosomal RNA", at positions 524 to 796 of the family's 1533-position model. The record is from RNAcentral.
UACAGAGGUCCCAAGCGUUGUUCGGAUUCACUGGGCGUAAAGGGUGCGUAGGUGGCUGGGUAAGUUUGAUGUGAAAUCUCCGGGCUCAACUCGGAAAUGGCAUUGAAUACUAUCCAGCUAGAGGCUUGGAGGGGGGACUGGAAUUCUCGGUGUAGCAGUGAAAUGCGUAGAUAUCGAGAGGAACACCAGUGGCGAAGGCGAGUCCCUGGACAAGACCUGACACUGAGGCACGAAAGCUAGGGGAGCAAACAGGAUUAGAAACCCCCGUAGUCC